CAUGCAGUCGUACAAGGUAGCCGNUCGGGGGUACACGAGUGGCGAACGGGUGAGUAACACGUGGGUAAUCUGCCCUGCACUUCGGGAUAAGCCUGGGAAACUGGGUCUAAUACCGGAUAUGAACUCCUGCCGCAUGGUGGGGGUUGGAAAGUUUUUCGGUGCAGGAUGAGCCCGCGGCCUAUCAGCUUGUUGGUGGGGUAAUGGCCUACCAAGGCGACGACGGGUAGCCGGCCUGAGAGGGUGAUCGGCCACACUGGGACUGAGACACGGCCCAGACUCCUACGGGAGGCAGCAGUGGGGAAUAUUGCACAAUGGGCGAAAGCCUGAUGCAGCGACGCCGCGUGGGGGAUGACGGUCUUCGGAUUGUAAACCCCUUUCAGUAGGGACGAAGCGCAAGUGACGGUACCUGCAGAAGAAGCACCGGCUAACUACGUGCCAGCAGCCGCGGUAAUACGUAGGGUGCGAGCGUUGUCCGGAAUUACUGGGCGUAAAGAGCUCGUAGGCGGUUUGUCACGUCGUCUGUGAAAUCCCUCGGCUUAACCGGGGGCGUGCAGGCGAUACGGGCAGACUUGAGUACUACAGGGGAGACUGGAAUUCCUGGUGUAGCGGUGAAAUGCGCAGAUAUCAGGAGGAACACCGGUGGCGAAGGCGGGUCUCUGGGUAGUAACUGACGCUGAGGAGCGAAAGCAUGGGUAGCGAACAGGAUUAGAUACCCUGGUAGUCCAUGCCGUAAACGGUGGGCGCUAGGUGUGGGGUCCUUCCACGGACUCCGUGCCGUA
Molecule: ribosomal RNA, 779 nt
Filed under: unidentified microorganism
Description: bacterial SSU rRNA
Rfam family: Bacterial small subunit ribosomal RNA
Source: RNAcentral